Molecule: transfer RNA, 72 nt
Organism: Camelus ferus (Wild Bactrian camel)
Lineage: Eukaryota; Metazoa; Chordata; Mammalia; Artiodactyla; Camelidae
Rfam family: tRNA
About the family: Transfer RNA (tRNA) molecules are approximately 80 nucleotides in length. Their secondary structure includes four short double-helical elements and three loops (D, anti-codon, and T loops).
Source: Rfam
GAGGGUACAGCUCAGUGGCAGCGUGCGUGCCUAGCAUGCAUGAGGUCCUGGAUUCAAUCCCCAGUACCUCCA